GACGAACGCUGGCGGCGUGCCUAACACAUGCAAGUGGAGCGACGAACCAGGCUUCGGCCUGGGGCAAAGCCGCGAACGGGUGAGUAACACGUGGGUAACCUGCCCCGAUGAUUGGGACAACCCGAGGAAACUCGGGCUAAUACCGAAUGUGCCCUCCGACCGCAAGGUCACUGGGGAAAGAAGCUUCGGCCUCCGCAUCGGGAUGGGCCCGCGGCCCAUUAGCUUGUUGGUGAGGUAACGGCUCACCAAGGCGACGAUGGGUAGCUGGUCUGAGAGGACGAUCAGCCACACUGGGACUGAGACACGGCCCAGACUCCUACGGGAGGCAGCAGUGGGGAAUCUUGCGCAAUGCGCGAAAGCGUGACGCAGCAACGCCGCGUGGGGGAAGACGGCC
RNAcentral lists this ribosomal RNA (394 nucleotides) under uncultured bacterium. Its description in RNAcentral is "bacterial SSU rRNA". It matches the Rfam family "Bacterial small subunit ribosomal RNA", at positions 28 to 416 of the family's 1533-position model. The record is from RNAcentral.